Oceanicaulis alexandrii is the source of this 50-nucleotide regulatory RNA element. It matches the Rfam family "Guanidine-II riboswitch aptamer (mini-ykkC)". Rfam says of the family: Simpler in structure and has fewer highly conserved nucleotide positions than the ykkC-yxkD leader. Despite this each of its two stem-loop structures directly bind free guanidine. The record is from Rfam. NCBI's taxonomy places the organism in Bacteria, Pseudomonadati, Pseudomonadota, Alphaproteobacteria, Maricaulales, Maricaulaceae.
CUGAGAGGACGACCUCCCCGCACUCGGGAUCAGCAUUCGGGACGGCCCGA